Long non-coding RNA from Coregonus clupeaformis (lake whitefish), 280 nucleotides. RefSeq lists it as uncharacterized. The transcript has 3 exons. The record is from RefSeq and is a predicted model, not a curated record. Lineage: Eukaryota; Metazoa; Chordata; Actinopteri; Salmoniformes; Salmonidae.
UGCUUCACAUUGCUAAUAUCUUCUUCCUCAGAUUGUCUGGGAUCCAACUCUGCACAGAUGGGUUGACAAAACUGAGCCCAAGGCUGAGAACAAGCUUGUACCACCAACUCCACCGAUGGGGAUGUAUGGAUUUCAGGGGAACCCUGGCAGUGUCCCCAAAGGAGUGAAUCCUUACUCCAUGAAAGCAGCAGGUCUAUGGGGCAGCAGAUACCCUACAAUGCAUUACACUGAUGGGACCAACUCAAAGCCUCCAAGCCAGGGGCCUGGACCACUUCCUCGA